UACUGUUAUCACCCAACUUGUUCUUCAGUAGUGUCACAUGGAAGAUUGGAUGGACUUUUGAGCCUCUAGGUAAUGCCAAUUGAUAGGAUAUUGCUCCUACCUUCUUAAUAACUUGAUAUGGGCCAAAACACCUAGCACUUAGUUUAUGGUUAGCUUCGUGUUCCGCUGACUUUUGUGCAUAGNGGGUCGGGCUUUAGGAUUAGACGUUUUGGUUUUGUUUCAAUCGAUACUGAAGUUUUCCAGCUCAUCGGAAGCCAUUUACUGGGUCCAGGAAGCCGUCUGAUCAAGAACAAAGCAUCUCAGGUUCGGGUACCGCUGCUUAAAACCCCGAUUUGCUUACACGACGGGACUUCACUUGAAUUACGUGUCAAGAGAAUUGAGCUGUUGAUGUAGACUUCAUGGAAUUUCUGUCUUGAAGGGAUGAGCAGUUAUUGUAUUAUUAAAGAUUUUAUUUUAACUUUCUUCUUUUUUCUUUUUCCCUUGGGGGGUCAGGGGGAUUGGAUUCUCUCCAUGUAAUUUCAAAUUUGAAACUUGUGUAAUUUUGAAUUUAACAGAUUAGUUUCUAGGUUUGAUAAUUAUCAAAAUUGUCUCAACUUUCACGAUCCUUUAUGCGAAAGUCUUGACUUCACCAACCAAGAUCUUACAUCCUAAUACUAUAUUGAGAAGAUAAAUUAAUUUUUUGAAAUCUUAAACUCAA
RNAcentral lists this long non-coding RNA (697 nucleotides) under Olea europaea subsp. europaea. The record is from RNAcentral. Lineage: Eukaryota; Viridiplantae; Streptophyta; Magnoliopsida; Lamiales; Oleaceae.